This 914-nucleotide long non-coding RNA is filed under the name Homo sapiens (human). RNAcentral describes it as "HSALNT0371701". Lineage: Eukaryota; Metazoa; Chordata; Mammalia; Primates; Hominidae. The record is from RNAcentral.
GUUCUAACUGCAUUGGGCAUCCAGUUAGCGCUCAAAAAAAUGUUAGCUCCUAUUAAAAAGUUUGCAUUCGGGAGAGCCAAAUACCACAUGACGAUGACCAGGGAUGGAUCUCUGAAGACAGAGUGCUAUAUAUGACAUGUUUCUUAUGUGUUUCUAUAUGACUGUGGAUUUAAAGGCAAUCCAGACUGCCAGAGACAGAGAAGCCAAAGUGCAUCUGGGAAGCAAAUGUGUGACUGCACAUCACUGGACAUCAAGUGUGGAUUAUGUCUUCACAUCAAACUGGAAGACUAGAGAAGCUGAACAUAUGAGUGAGCUCAGCUAAGAGACCAAGGAAAGAGGAGAAAAGAGGAACCAAGUGAUAGGUGAUUGAAAGAUAUGACUAGGCGGGAAGGCCAGUCUCGUGUCUCCCACUGCUUGUAUGAGAAGGGCAAAGAGAGAGGCUUGAAUGCUCUUUCCAUCCUUCCCCUGUAGCUUGUUUCCGGAGCUCAUCUUCAUCCUUCAACACUCAGCUUCAACGUCACCAUCUCCAGGAAGACUAUGCAGAUAUAUCCAGGUUUGCAUGAACAGAAAAGAAGAGGGGUGGUGAGCAAAGAAAUGAGCUCCAUCUCUAUCUGUAGACUCUGACCCUGGCUGAUUCCUUUGUGCACUGUGACAAAUGGAGACACAGAAGAUGGAAAACCACAUUCCUAAUUUCUUUCCCUGACAGACACCUAUUAGCAUUCUGUAUUGCAAAGAAGACCUGAAAGACGUGGAUGCAAAUAUCAUCAAGGCAGCAUCUCUGCAUCCACAGGAAGACAAUUAAACACACACAAGUUGCCUACACCUCCAGCCUCAGACAAGCUCCAAGGGCUGCCUUGAAGUCCUUCAGUCAAUAAGAUUUUUUUUUUUGUUUUACCUUUUUGUAUCCUCAAAAU